UCCGGUUUGACACCGGCAGUCUCUCAUGAGUCCCCGACAUUACUCGCUGGCUUUCACCAGCUUUACCCGGCAUGUCAAGCCCUGGUAAGGUUCUUCGCGUUGCGUCGAAUUAAGCCACAUGCUCCGCCGCUUGUGCGGGCCCCCGUCAAUUCCUUUGAGUUUUAGCCUUGCGGCCGUACUCCCCAGGCGGGGUGCUUAAUGCGUUAGCUGCGGCACGGAGAGGGUUGAAGCUCCCCACACCUAGCACCCAUCGUUUACGGCUGGGACUAC
RNAcentral lists this unclassified non-coding RNA (270 nucleotides) under uncultured Actinomycetes bacterium. Its description in RNAcentral is "uncultured actinobacterium contains 16S-23S intergenic spacer region". Lineage: Bacteria; Bacillati; Actinomycetota; Actinomycetes. The record is from RNAcentral.